RNAcentral lists this unclassified non-coding RNA (978 nucleotides) under Hevea brasiliensis (rubber tree). The record is from RNAcentral. Lineage: Eukaryota; Viridiplantae; Streptophyta; Magnoliopsida; Malpighiales; Euphorbiaceae.
UCUUUUAGGUCUGCCUAACCAUCACCUUCUAACUUCAAUCCUAGAAAGAAGAGAAAACCUAAAAGAAAAAAAAGGGAUUAUCUCAUUAAUGGCAUCCAACAAUGAACAGCAAAAUCAGGCAGGCAGGCACCAAGAAGUUGGCCACAAGAGCCUUCUGCAGAGUGAUGCACUUUACCAGUACAUACUUGAGACAAGUGUGUACCCAACAGAGCCUGAACCCAUGAAGGAGCUGAGGGAGCUAACUGCCAAGCACCCCUGGUUUUUGUUUCUUGAUCCAGAGUCUCAAUAAUGUUGAAAUGUUUCUAGGGUUUUUUCUUAUUGUUUAAUAAAUUUGAUUUGUGUGAAUGAAUAUAGGAACAUAAUGACUACAUCAGCAGAUGAAGGGCAGUUCUUGAACAUGCUUUUGAAGCUUAUGAAUGCAAAGAACACCAUGGAAAUUGGUGUAUACACUGGAUAUUCUCUCUUGGCAACUGCUCUUGCUCUUCCUGAUGAUGGAAAGGUAGUUUAUAGAAUCAAAUCUCAGAAAUCCAGAUGCAGAACGAUUCUUUAAUUUGGGAAAACUCACAGUUAUGAAACAUUUUGCAUCAAUGAGUUUUGAUUAGUUGAUUAAUGUGCGGUGUUGUUUUGUUGCAGAUCCUGGCGAUGGACAUAAACAGAGAGAACUAUGAGUUGGGUCUGCCUGUUAUCCAGAAAGCAGGUGUUGCUCACAAGAUUGAAUUCAGGGAAGGGCCUGCUUUGCCUGUUCUUGACCAAAUGAUUGCUGAAGUAAGAAUUUUCUUUAUGUUUUAUUAACCAAAACAAAAUUCCUUCUGAAAAAAACCCAAAAUGAAAUAAAUAAUGAAAUUAGAAAAUAACAUCAGGUUUUCUUUCUUCUCUUCGCUUCGCGGGACAUGAAUUUAUCAAGGAAAUUUUCAAAAAAAAAAAUCUGAGAUUUAUUAUUAUUUUUUUUUUUUUCAAAUAUAUAUACAGAUAGGUAUU